This 442-nucleotide ribosomal RNA is filed under the name uncultured bacterium. RNAcentral's name for it is "bacterial SSU rRNA". It matches the Rfam family "Bacterial small subunit ribosomal RNA", at positions 29 to 506 of the family's 1533-position model. The record is from RNAcentral.
AACGAACGCUGGCGGCAGGCCUAACACAUGCAAGUCGAACGAGAAAGCACCUUCGGGUGUAAGUAGAGUGGCGCACGGGUGAGUAACGCGUGGGAACCUACCCUGAGGUACGGAAUAACAGCUGGAAACGGCUGCUAAUACCGUAUGUGCCCUACGGGGGAAAGAUUUAUCGCCUUAGGAUGGGCCCGCGUCGGAUUAGCUAGUUGGUGAGGUAACGGCUCACCAAGGCUCCGAUCCGUAGCUGGUCUGAGAGGAUGAUCAGCCACACUGGAACUGAGACACGGUCCAGACUCCUACGGGAGGCAGCAGUGGGAAUAUUGCGCAAUGGGGGAAACCCUGACGCAGCCAUGCCGCGUGAGUGAAGAAGGUCUUCGGAUCGUAAAGCUCUUUCAACGGGGAAGAUGAUGACGGUACCCGUAGAAGAAGCCCCGGCUAACUUCGU